GACGAACGCUGGCGGCGUGCUUAACACAUGCAAGUCGAACGGAAAGGCCCUGCUUUUGUGGGGUGCUCGAGUGGCGAACGGGUGAGUAACACGUGAGUAACCUGCCCUUGACUUUGGGAUAACUUCAGGAAACUGGGGCUAAUACCGGAUAGGAGCUCCUGCUGCAUGGUGGGGGUUGGAAAGUUUCGGCGGUUGGGGAUGGACUCGCGGCUUAUCAGCUUGUUGGUGGGGUAGUGGCUUACCAAGGCUUUGACGGGUAGCCGGCCUGAGAGGGUGACCGGCCACAUUGGGACUGAGAUACGGCCCAGACUCCUACGGGAGGCAGCAGUGGGGAAUAUUGCACAAUGGGCGGAAGCCUGAUGCAGCAACGCCGCGUGCGGGAUGACGGCCUUCGGGUUGUAAACCGCUUUCGCCUGUGACGAAGCGUGAGUGACGGUAAUGGGUAAAGAAGCACCGGCUAACUACGUGCCAGCAGCCGCGGUGAUACGUAGGGUGCGAGCGUUGUCCGGAUUUAUUGGGCGUAAAGGGCUCGUAGGUGGUUGAUCGCGUCGGAAGUGUAAUCUUGGGGCUUAACCCUGAGCGUGCUUUCGAUACGGGUUGACUUGAGGAAGGUAGGGGAGAAUGGAAUUCCUGGUGGAGCGGUGGAAUGCGCAGAUAUCAGGAGGAACACCAGUGGCGAAGGCGGUUCUCUGGGCCUUUCCUGACGCUGAGGAGCGAAAGCGUGGGGAGCGAACAGGCUUAGAUACCCUGGUAGUCCACGCUGUAAACGGUGGGUACUAGGUGUGGGGUCCAUUCCACGGGUUCCGUGCCGUAGCUAACGCUUUAAGUACCCCGCCUGGGGAGUACGGCCGCAAGGCUAAAACUCAAAGGAAUUGACGGGGCCCCGCACAAGCGGCGGAGCAUGCGGAUUAAUUCGAUGCAACGCGUAGAACCUUACCUGGGUUUGACAUGGAUCGGGAGUGCUCAGAGACGGGUGUGCCUCUUUUGGGGUCGGUUCACAGGUGGUGCAUGGCUGUCGUCAGCUCGUGUCGUGAGAUGUUGGGUUAAGUCCCGCAACGAGCGCAACCCUUGUUCACUGUUGCCAGCACGUUAUGGUGGGGACUCAGUGGAGACCGCCGGGGUCAACUCGGAGGAAGGUGGGGAUGACGUCAAGUCAUCAUGCCCCUUAUGUCCAGGGCUUCACGCAUGCUACAAUGGCUGGUACAGGGAGUGGCGAGCCUGUGAGGGUGAGCGAAUCUCGGAAAGCCGGUCUCAGUUCGGAUUGGGGUCUGCAACUCGACCUCAUGAAGUCGGAGUCGCUAGUAAUCGCAGAUCAGCAACGCUGCGGUGAAUACGUUCCCGGG
RNAcentral lists this ribosomal RNA (1343 nucleotides) under uncultured bacterium. RNAcentral's name for it is "16S ribosomal RNA". It matches the Rfam family "Bacterial small subunit ribosomal RNA", at positions 28 to 1378 of the family's 1533-position model. The record is from RNAcentral.